RNAcentral lists this ribosomal RNA (322 nucleotides) under uncultured Chloroflexota bacterium. Its description in RNAcentral is "bacterial SSU rRNA". It matches the Rfam family "Bacterial small subunit ribosomal RNA", at positions 28 to 351 of the family's 1533-position model. Lineage: Bacteria; Bacillati; Chloroflexota. The record is from RNAcentral.
GAUGAACGCUGGCGGCGUGCCUAACACAUGCAAGUCGAACGUGAGAGAGUAGCAAUAUUCUUGAAAGUGGCGAACGGGUGAGUAACACGUGGGUAACCUGCCCUGAAGUGGGGGAUAACAACUAGAAAUGGUUGCUAAUACCGCAUGAGGCUAGAGUAGCGGGAGCUGCACUAGCGAAAACUCUGGUGCUUCAGGAGGGGCCUGCGGCCGAUUAGCUAGUUGGCGGGGUAAAGGCCCACCAAGGCGACGAUCGGUAGCUGGUCUGAGAGGACGAUCAGCCACACGGGAACUGAGAAACGGUCCCGACUCCUACGGGAGGCUG